RNAcentral lists this ribosomal RNA (261 nucleotides) under uncultured archaeon. RNAcentral describes it as "partial 16S ribosomal RNA". It matches the Rfam family "Archaeal small subunit ribosomal RNA", at positions 748 to 1009 of the family's 1478-position model. The record is from RNAcentral.
UAGCCGUAAACGAUACUCGCUAGGUGUCGGCCACGGUGCGACCGUUGUCGGUGCCGUAGGGAAGCCGUGAAGCGAGCCACCUGGGAAGUACGGCCGCAAGGCUGAAACUUAAAGGAAUUGGCGGGGGAGCACAACAACGGGUGGGGCUUGCGGUUUAAUUGGAUUCAACGCCGGAAAUCUUACCGGGACCGACAGCAACAUGAAGGCCAAGCUGAAGACUUUGCCGGAUUAGCUGAGAGGUGGUGCAUGGCGUAGUCGUGU